This 786-nucleotide ribosomal RNA is filed under the name Lodderomyces parapsilosis. RNAcentral's name for it is "LSU rRNA". It matches the Rfam family "Eukaryotic large subunit ribosomal RNA", at positions 80 to 883 of the family's 3401-position model. The record is from RNAcentral. Lineage: Eukaryota; Fungi; Ascomycota; Pichiomycetes; Serinales; Debaryomycetaceae.
UUAGUAGCGGCGAGUGAAGCGGCAAAAGCUCAAAUUUGAAAUCUGGCACUUUCAGUGUCCGAGUUGUAAUUUGAAGAAGGUAUCUUUGGGUCUGGCUCUUGUCUAUGUUUCUUGGAACAGAACGUCACAGAGGGUGAGAAUCCCGUGCGAUGAGAUGUCCCAGACCUAUGUAAAGUUCCUUCGAAGAGUCGAGUUGUUUGGGAAUGCAGCUCUAAGUGGGUGGUAAAUUCCAUCUAAAGCUAAAUAUUGGCGAGAGACCGAUAGCGAACAAGUACAGUGAUGGAAAGAUGAAAAGAACUUUGAAAAGAGAGUGAAAAAGUACGUGAAAUUGUUGAAAGGGAAGGGCUUGAGAUCAGACUUGGUAUUUUGUAUGUUACUCUCUCGGGGGUGGCCUCUACAGUUUACCGGGCCAGCAUCAGUUUGAGCGGUAGGAUAAGUGCAAAGAAAUGUGGCACUGCUUCGGUAGUGUGUUAUAGUCUUUGUCGAUACUGCCAGCUUAGACUGAGGACUGCGGCUUCGGCCUAGGAUGUUGGCAUAAUGAUCUUAAGUCGCCCGUCUUGAAACACGGACCAAGGAGUCUAACGUCUAUGCGAGUGUUUGGGUGUAAAACCCGUACGCGUAAUGAAAGUGAACGUAGGUAGGACCUCCUUUAGGAGUGCACUAUCGACCGAUCCUGAUGUCUUCGGAUGGAUUUGAGUAAGAGCAUAGCUGUUGGGACCCGAAAGAUGGUGAACUAUGCCUGAAUAGGGUGAAGCCAGAGGAAACUCUGGUGGAGGCUCGUAGCGG